RNAcentral lists this long non-coding RNA (390 nucleotides) under Manihot esculenta (cassava). RNAcentral's name for it is "long non-coding RNA (MESC_LNC008383)". Lineage: Eukaryota; Viridiplantae; Streptophyta; Magnoliopsida; Malpighiales; Euphorbiaceae. The record is from RNAcentral.
CUCUCUCUCUCUCUGCAGUUCUACAAAUACCAACUCGCAGCCACAAUCCUUCAAAAUUCAACUCUCUCCAUCUGUGUGAUCCAAAACGCUUACAAUGGCCGAGUCCGCAGUCUCCCCAACUCCUCUAUUGAAAGAUGAGCUCGACAUAGUCAUCCCCACGAUCAGAAACCUUGAUUUCUUGGAGAUGUGGAGGCCAUUCUUCCAGCCAUACCAUCUCAUCAUUGUUCAGGAUGGUGACCCCUCUAAAACCAUUAAGGUCCCUGAAGGUUUCGACUAUGAGCUCUAUAACAGAAAUGAUAUUAACAAAAUUCUGGGUCCCAAAGCUUCUUGUAUUUCCUUCAAGGACUCUGCUUGUAGGUGCUUUGGCUACUUGGUUUCUAAGAAGAAGUA